GUGGGGAAUAUUGGACAAUGGGCGAAAGCCUGAUCCAGCCAUGCCGCGAGUGUGAAGAAGGUCUUCGGAUUGUAAAGCACUUUAAGUUGGGAGGAAGGGCAGUAAGUUAAUACCUUGCUGUUUUGACGUUACCGACAGAAUAAGCACCGGCUAACUUCGUGCCAGCAGCCGCGGUAAUACGAAGGGUGCAAGCGUUACUCGGAAUUACUGGGCGUAAAGCGCGCGUAGGUGGUUUUGUAAGUUGGAGGUGAAAUCCCCGGGCUCAACCUGGGAACUGCCUCCAAAACUGCAUGACUAGAGUACGGUAGAGGGUAGUGGAAUUUCCUGUGUAGCGGUGAAAUGCGUAGAUAUAGGAAGGAACACCAGUGGCGAAGGCGACUACCUGGACUGAUACUGACACUGAGGUGCGAAAGCGUGGGGAGCAAACAGGAUUAGAUACCCGGGUAGUCC
Molecule: ribosomal RNA, 450 nt
Filed under: uncultured bacterium
Lineage: Bacteria
Description: partial 16S ribosomal RNA
Rfam family: Bacterial small subunit ribosomal RNA
Source: RNAcentral